Molecule: non-coding RNA, 509 nt
Organism: Streptomyces turgidiscabies Car8
Lineage: Bacteria; Bacillati; Actinomycetota; Actinomycetes; Kitasatosporales; Streptomycetaceae
Rfam family: Saccharopolyspora sRNA 350
Source: Rfam
GUGGCGGUGUGCUCCCACGGGGCGCUCCCGUUCAGCAGGGCGUGGUCGCCGAACCGGUCGCCGUUGGCGAGUACGUCCAGGGCGACCUCGUCGCCGUACCCGCCGACCGAGGUCCGGCGGAUGCGGCCGUGGGCGAUCAGGUGGAGGCGGUCCGCGGGCGCACCGCGUUCCACCAGCGUCUCACCGACCCGGAAGUCGCGUUGGACGCACCGAUCGGCGAGGGCGGUCAGCACCUCCACGUCGUCGAAGCCGCGCAGCAGGGCCAGUUCACCGAGUUCGUGCGGGAUCACCCGGACGUCGGCGCCGUCCUGGACGAACUCCACGCUCCCGUCGCCGACGGUGUAGCUCAGGCGACGGUUCACCCGGUAGGCCCCGCCCUUGGUCUCCACCCAGGGGAGCAUCCGCAGCAGCCAGCGGGAGGUGAUCUCCUGCAUCUGCGGCGCGGACUUGGUGGUGGUGGCGAGGUUGCGGGCCGCCGCCGUGCCGAGGGACUGCCGGGGUGGCUCCGG